Molecule: long non-coding RNA, 305 nt
Organism: Eupeodes corollae
Lineage: Eukaryota; Metazoa; Arthropoda; Insecta; Diptera; Syrphidae
Exons: 3
Source: RefSeq, a predicted model, not a curated record
UUCGAAUAUCAUAGUUUUCUAAAGUGUUCAACUAGAAGUCAAUAUCAUGGGAAAAGCAAUUGUCUUACUUUUGGUCGUUUGUAUGCUGAUUGGUGCUUCGGUUUCCGAGGCAUCCAUGACAGCUGAUGUUGAUUCAAAAUCUUUUGCCAUGCAAGGUUCUUCGUCAUCUGGCGGCGGCGGUGGUGGCAGCGGUAGCAGCUCUAGCGGUGGAAGUGGCAGCAGUGGUGGCGGUUCUUCACAAACUUCAUCUGGAUGAAGAGUCCUGUUUAAGAACAAAAUCCUAACAUUGUUUUCAAAUCUUUAAA